GCGGAUGAAGCCAAACGGUUAAGGCAAUGGGUUGUGGUUCCAUGUAUUGCGGGUUCAACUCCCGUCAUUCGCC
This 73-nucleotide transfer RNA is filed under the name Apicomplexa sp. corallicolid ex Leiopathes glaberrima. Its description in RNAcentral is "tRNA-His". It matches the Rfam family "tRNA". Rfam says of the family: Transfer RNA (tRNA) molecules are approximately 80 nucleotides in length. The record is from RNAcentral. Lineage: Eukaryota; Apicomplexa.